AUGGCACCUGGAGGCUUUGUGGAUUGGAGGGGAAACGCCAUUAAUAAAGAGGUGCAUGGCGGAGUCAGAGCAGCUUGGUUUUUGUACGUUCUGACUGUGGUAACCAACGUGGUUAUUGUCCCAAACCUGCUGAAUCUGGUCACUUACCUACACGGAACAAUGCACAUGGGGGUCUCAGGCUCUGCAACUACAGCCACUAAUUUUAUUGGUGCCACAUCUGGCUUUGCACUGAUGGGAGCUUUCCUCUCGGACUCAUACAUUACUCGCUCUAGAACUAUGCUCCUCUUUGGUCCGUUUAUGUUUCUGGGAUACGGAUUGCUAGCACCGCAAGCCUACCUUCUCUCACUCCACCCACCACCUUUGCAAUAG
This 369-nucleotide ribosomal RNA is filed under the name Triticum aestivum (bread wheat). RNAcentral's name for it is "partial small subunit ribosomal RNA". Lineage: Eukaryota; Viridiplantae; Streptophyta; Magnoliopsida; Poales; Poaceae. The record is from RNAcentral.